UAGGGAAUCUUCCACAAUGGACGCAAGUCUGAUGGAGCAACGCCGCGUGAGUGAAGAAGGCUUUCGGGUCGUAAAACUCUGUUAUUGAAGAAGAACGUGCGUGACAGUAACUGGUCAUGCAGUGACGGUAUUCAAUCAGAAAGUCACGGCUAACUACGUGCCAGCAGCCGCGGUAAUACGUAGGUGGCAAGCGUUGUCCGGAUUUAUUGGGCGUAAAGCGAGUGCAGGCGGUCUUUUAAGUCUGAUGUGAAAGCCUUCGGCUUAACCGAAG
This 271-nucleotide ribosomal RNA is filed under the name uncultured bacterium. RNAcentral describes it as "partial 16S ribosomal RNA". It matches the Rfam family "Bacterial small subunit ribosomal RNA", at positions 355 to 618 of the family's 1533-position model. The record is from RNAcentral.